ACGAGAAAGUGGAGCAAUCCAUGAGUACAGUGGCGUACGGGUGAGUAACACGUGGAUCAUCUACCUUUUAGUGAGGAAUAACCAUGGGAAACCGUGGCUAAUACCGCAUAAGCUCGAGAGAGGAAAGUCGUAAGACGCUGAAAGAGGAGUCCGCGGCCGAUUAGCUAGUUGGCAGGGUAAAAGCCUACCAAGGCGAAGAUCGGUAGCCGGCCUGAGAGGGCACACGGCCACACUGGCACUGAAACACGGGCCAGACUCCUACGGGAGGCAGCAGUGGGGAAUCUUGCACAAUGGGGGAAACCCUGAUGCAGCGACGCCGCGUGAGCGAUGAAGCCCUUCGGGGUGUAAAGCUCUUUCGGCAGGGAAGAUAGUGACGGUACCUGCAGAAGCAGCUGCGGCUAACUACGUGCCAGCAGCCGCGGUAAUACGUAGGCAGCGAGCGUUGUUCGGAGUUACUGGGCGUAAAGGGUGUGUAGGCGGUUGUUUAAGUUUGGUGUGAAAUCUCCCGGCUCAACUGGGAGGGUGCGCCGAAUACUGAAUGACUUCGAGUGCGGGAGAGGAAAGUGGAAUUCCUGGUGUAGCGGUGAAAUGCGUAGAUAUCAGGAGGAACACCGGUGGUGUAGACGGCUUUCUGGACCGUACUGACGCUGAGACACGAAGCGUGGGUAGCAACAGGAUUAAAUA
Molecule: ribosomal RNA, 684 nt
Filed under: uncultured bacterium
Lineage: Bacteria
Description: bacterial SSU rRNA
Rfam family: Bacterial small subunit ribosomal RNA
Source: RNAcentral